AUUUUACAUAAAUGAAAAUGUCGCGUUUUAAACGAAGCAAUUUAAAAUCCCCACAAGUUAGUAUAUUAAUCGUAUAAUUGGGAAGUACCAAUUUACUCGCUAUGAAUGUUACACCCACGUAUAACUUUUUGCAUACACGUGAAUCAAUAAGUAAACAUAAAAACACAUGUAAUAUCGUGUUCGAUUUUCGUUUACAUUCUACGAAACAUUCGUCGACUGGUUUAUAAAAAUGUUUUCAAUCAUGACUAUAUUAUGCACUAUGUAGUGCUUGACUAAAAUAGAAGACUAACUACAGAGGCUUCAAAAUUAUUCACCAUUGCCGAUGAUUGAACUCAACCUAACUUGUGGGAGAAAAAAACCACAAC
Molecule: non-coding RNA, 365 nt
Organism: Cinara cedri
Lineage: Eukaryota; Metazoa; Arthropoda; Insecta; Hemiptera; Aphididae
Source: the annotation of a GenBank genome assembly